AUUCCAGCUCCAAUAGCGUAUAUUAAUGUUGUUGCAGUUAAAAAGCUCGUAGUUGGAUUUCUGGUGGGAGCGGCCGGUCCGCCGUAAGGUGUGUACUUGGUUGUCUCCUGUCAUCCUUGUGGGAACUGCUCUGGCAUUAAGUUGUCGGGGUUAGGGAACACAUCGUUUACUGUGAAAAAAUUAGAGUGUUUAAAGCAGGCUUAUGCCGUUGAAUACAUUAGCAUGGAAUAAUAAGAUAGGACUUUGGCGUCUAUUUUGUUGGUUUGCACACCAAGGUAAUGAUUAAUAGGGAUAGUUGGGGGUAUUCGUAUUUAAUUGUCAGAGGUGAAAUUCUUGGAUUUAUGAAAGACGAACUUCUGCGAAAGCAUUUACCAAAGAUGUUUUCAUCA
Molecule: ribosomal RNA, 389 nt
Filed under: Stramenopiles sp. MAST-1C
Lineage: Eukaryota
Description: partial small subunit ribosomal RNA
Rfam family: Eukaryotic small subunit ribosomal RNA
Source: RNAcentral